RNAcentral lists this long non-coding RNA (637 nucleotides) under Bos taurus (domestic cattle). RNAcentral's name for it is "long non-coding RNA NONBTAT026214". The record is from RNAcentral. Lineage: Eukaryota; Metazoa; Chordata; Mammalia; Artiodactyla; Bovidae.
UUCAUCUUCUUGUUCCAUUUUGGGCCACAUUGAACAAUUCUAGAUGCCCCUUGACAUUUCAAAGACUGGCAGACUAUAGAUUUUUCCUCUCAGCUCCACUGAUCCAAACUGUCCCCAAUUGAGUUUCUUUCAUCUGACCUCAAAAAUAAUUUCAUUUUCAUUGGUGGAUGAUCAUUUAUUUCCUCUAGCUGAUCCCCCAUUGGCUGAAUGGGGAGGGUACAAAAAAGUCAGUUAUGUCAUUAUUAUUAGCAACAUGCCGAGAUCAACAAGGUUAUUUCUUGUUAUUUAAGCAUACAGUAUCCCUUUGCCUGUUUCCUGCAGAUUUCAUCUGCACAUAUACAUCUCAGUGCUUCCUUCCAGUGGGAAAUGAAGAUACAAUAAUAAAGAAGGGAAGCUUAUAAGAUCAUGCAAUUAAACCUGCGGGAGUCUCAAAAAUACAUUCUGUGAAGUUUUUUUUUAAGAUAGAUUUAUGAGAUAGCUUAGGUUUAGAUAUCCCUAGUGCUUUGCUUCUCAUGUUAAAAUUUUAAACACACAUACACACACACAUAUUUCAGUAACUAAAAAGUGAUAUCACAGAUUUAUGAGCUUAGUGAUAGAAGAGUCCAUAGAGGUGUCUGGUAAAACGUAGUGUGCACUG